AUGCAGUCGAACGCGUCUUGGUUAUUGAUGUUAGAUGCUUGCAUUUAACUGAUUUAACAUUGAGACGAGUGGCGAACUGGUGAGUAACACGUGGGUAACCUGCCCUUGAAGUAGGGGAUAACACUUGGAAACAGGUGCUAAUACCGUAUAACAACCAAAACCACCUGGUUUUGGUUUAAAAGAUGGCUUCGGCUGUCACUUUAGGAUGGACCCGCGGCGUAUUAGCUUGUUGGUAAGGUAACGGCUUACCAAGGCGAUGAUACGUAGCCGACCUGAGAGGGUAAUCGGCCACAUUGGGACUGAGACACGGCCCAAACUCCUACGGGAGGCAGCAGUAGGGAAUCUUCCACAAUGGACGAAAGUCUGAUGGAGCAACGCCGCGUGAGUGAUGAAGGGUUUCGGCUCGUAAAACUCUGUUGUUGGAGAAGAACAGGUGUCAGAGUAACUGUUGACAUCUUGACGGUAUCCAACCAGAAAGCCACGGCUAACUACGUGCCAGCAGCCGCGGUAAUACGUAGGUGGCAAGCGUUGUCCGGAUUUAUUGGGCGUAAAGCGAGCGCAGGCGGUUUUUUAGGUCUGAUGUGAAAGCCUUCGGCUUAACCGGAGAAGUGCAUCGGAAACCGGGAGACUUGAGUGCAGAAGAGGACAGUGGAACUCCAUGUGUAGCGGUGAAAUGCGUAGAUAUAUGGAAGAACACCAGUGGCGAAGGCGGCUCUCUGGUCUGCAACUGACGCUGAGGCUCGAAAGCAUGGGUAGCGAACAGGAUUAGAUACCCUGGUAGUCCAUGCCGUAAACGAUGAGUGCUAAGUGUUGGGAGGUUUCCGCCUCUCAGUGCUGCAGCUAACGCAUUAAGCACUCCGCCUGGGGAGUACG
Molecule: ribosomal RNA, 873 nt
Filed under: uncultured bacterium
Lineage: Bacteria
Description: bacterial SSU rRNA
Rfam family: Bacterial small subunit ribosomal RNA
Source: RNAcentral